This 256-nucleotide unclassified non-coding RNA is filed under the name Hevea brasiliensis (rubber tree). The record is from RNAcentral. Lineage: Eukaryota; Viridiplantae; Streptophyta; Magnoliopsida; Malpighiales; Euphorbiaceae.
GGUGGCUUUGGUCAAGUGUAUGUUGGUCGGCGUCUUUCUCCUAUUGCUUCAAAUGAUAGAACCAGUUCUGGAGCUGCAGAGGUGGCCUUAAAAUUUGAGCAUAGAAGUAGUAAAGGAUGUAACUAUGGACCGCCAUAUGAGUGGCAAGUUUACAGCUUUCUUGGUGGGAGUCAUGGAAUACCACGGGUACACUACAAGGGUCGGCAAGGUGACUAUUAUGUCAUGGCUAUGGAUAUACUGGGGCCAAGCUUGUGGG